AUGAGGACUCUAUGCUGGAACUGUCAUGGGAUUGGCGACCCUGCGAUAGUCCAUGAGCUCCGCGAUCUCGUGGGGGCUAGUGCGCCGUCGGUUCUUUGCAUUGUGGAGACUCAAAUUGCAAAAAAUUGAGUGGAAGGUUUGGCGGCUUCUUUAGGUUUCCAAAAUAGUUUUGCAGUUCCUAGCAGUGGACGUAGUGGUGGGCUUUGUAUUUUUUGGAAGGCAGAUGUGAACUUGGCAAUAAAAAAUUUCUCG
This 252-nucleotide ribosomal RNA is filed under the name Triticum aestivum (bread wheat). RNAcentral's name for it is "partial small subunit ribosomal RNA". Lineage: Eukaryota; Viridiplantae; Streptophyta; Magnoliopsida; Poales; Poaceae. The record is from RNAcentral.